RNAcentral lists this ribosomal RNA (497 nucleotides) under uncultured bacterium. Its description in RNAcentral is "partial 16S ribosomal RNA". It matches the Rfam family "Bacterial small subunit ribosomal RNA", at positions 28 to 507 of the family's 1533-position model. The record is from RNAcentral.
GAUGAACGCUGGCGGCGUGCCUAAUACAUGCAAGUCGAGCGAACGGACGAGAAGCUUGCUUUUCUGAUGUUAGCGGCGGACGGGUGAGUAACACGUGGAUAACCUACCUAUAAGACUGGUAUAACUUCGGGAAACCGGCGCUAAUACCGGAUAAUAUUUUGAACCGCAUGGUUCAAAAGUGAAAGACGGUCUUGCUGGCACUUAUAGAUGGAUCCGCGCUGCUUUAGCUAGUUGGUAAGGUAACGGCUUACCAAGGCAACGAUGCAUAGCCGAACUGAGGGGGUGAUCGGCCACACUGGAACUGAGACACGGUCCAGACUCCUACGGGAGGCAGCAGUAGGGAAUCUUCCGCAAUGGGGGAAAGCCUGACGGAGCGACGCCGCGUGAGUGAUGAAGGUCUUCGGAUCGUAAAACUCUGUUAUUAGGGAAGAACAUAUGUGUAAGUAACUGUGCACAUCUUGACGGUACCUAAUCAGAAAGCCACGGCUAACUACGUG